CCCGCCAUGAUGACAAUGGACUGAACCUCUGAACUGUGAGCCAGCCCCAGUGAAACGUCUCCUUCAUAAGAACUGCUGUGUUCAUGGUGUCUCUUCACGGCAAUAGAAUAUUGACUAACAAAAUGAAUGCAGUCGAGGUGUGGGAUGAACAGAAGUGUCUCUCUCGCUCUUGGGCCAGUCAAUCGGUCCGAGUCCAGAGCUCAGCAUCCCACUUUGGAGAAACGUAAGCGUGAC
RNAcentral lists this long non-coding RNA (234 nucleotides) under Rattus norvegicus (Norway rat). Its description in RNAcentral is "long non-coding RNA NONRATT033418". Lineage: Eukaryota; Metazoa; Chordata; Mammalia; Rodentia; Muridae. The record is from RNAcentral.